This 1255-nucleotide ribosomal RNA is filed under the name uncultured bacterium. RNAcentral describes it as "partial 16S ribosomal RNA". It matches the Rfam family "Bacterial small subunit ribosomal RNA", at positions 104 to 1367 of the family's 1533-position model. The record is from RNAcentral.
GGGUGAGUAACGUGUAUGUAACAUGCCCUAUACAGGAGGAUAGCCUUUGGAAACAGAGAUUAAUACUCCAUAAUAUAAUUGAGAGGCAUCUUUUGAUUAUUAAAACUGAGGUGGUAUAGGAUUGACAUGCAUUAGAUUAGCUAGUUGGCGAGGUAGAGGCUCACCAAGGCUACGAUCUAUAGGGGUCCUGAGAGGGAGAUCCCCCACACUGGUACUGAGACACGGACCAGACUCCUACGGGAGGCAGCAGUGAAGAAUAUUGGUCAAUGGGCGAGAGCCUGAACCAGCCAUUCCGCGUGUAGGAAUAAGGUCUUACAGAUUGUAAACUACUUUUGUAUAGGAGGACUACUGAUACGAGAUGUUGGGAAAGACGUUACUAUACGAAUAAGCAUCGGCUAACUCCGUGCCAGCAGCCGCGGUAAUACGGAGGAUGCGAACGUUAUCCGGAUUUAUUGGGUUUAAAGAGUCUGUAGGCGGACUUGUAAGUCAGAGGUGAAAUGCUGUGGCCCAACCAUGAGUUAGCCUUUGAAACUGUGAGUCUUGAAUUAUAACAACGUUAGGAGAAUAUGACAAGUAGCGGUGAAAUGUGUAGAUAUGUCAUAGAAUACCGGUAGCGAAGGCGCCUAAUGGGUUAUAUAUUGACGCUGAGAGACGAGAGCUUGGGGAGCGAACAGGCUUAGAUACCCUGGUAGUCCAAGCUGUAAACGAUGAUUACUAGUUGUCUAUUAUUAGAUGGCCAAGCGAAAGCGAUAAGUAAUCCACCUGGGGAGUACGACCGCAAGGUUGAAACUCAAAGGAAUAGACGGGGACCCGCACAAGCGGUGGAGCAUGUGGUUUAAUUCGGUGAUACGCGAGGAACCUUACCAAGGCUUAAAUGUGCAACGAAUAUUUAGGAAACUAGAUAGUCUUCGGACGGUGUACAAGGUGCUGCAUGGUUGUCGUCAGCUCGUGCCGUGAGGUGUCAGGUUAAGUCCUAUAACGAGCGCAACCCCUGUUGCUAGUUGCCAGCGAGUGAAGUCGGGGACUCUAGCGAGACUGCCUACGCAAGUAGAGAGGAAGGUGGGGACGACGUCAAAUCAUCACGGCCCUUACGCUUUGGGCCACACACGUGCUACAAUGGUGCAUACAAAGAGAAGCGAGAUUGUGAAGUUAAGCGGAUCUCAAAAAGUGCAUCUCAGUUCGGAUUGGAGUCUGCAACUCGACUCCAUGAAGUUGGAAUCGCUAGUAAUCGUAUAUCAGCCAUGAUACGGUGAAU